AAAAAUCUGGAGGAUAUCACCAUUGAUCCAACUGAAAAAGUAGUGAUUGAAAAUGAAACAUCAGAAAGUGAGGAAGAAUUGAGUGAUCAUGAAGGUGAUGCAGAAAUGCAAGUAAAGCAGAUGAAACGAGCACAUGGCGAAGUUCAGGAAACAAAAGUUAACAGUGUUUGCCAAGGUCGUAAACGAGUGAAGAGGACAAUGUGGAAAGAAGAAGAAAGAAGAGCAGUGGAAAA
Molecule: long non-coding RNA, 233 nt
Organism: Polypterus senegalus (gray bichir)
Lineage: Eukaryota; Metazoa; Chordata; Cladistia; Polypteriformes; Polypteridae
Exons: 4
Source: RefSeq, a predicted model, not a curated record